Pteropus alecto (black flying fox) is the source of this 1957-nucleotide long non-coding RNA. RefSeq lists it as uncharacterized. The transcript has 3 exons. The record is from RefSeq and is a predicted model, not a curated record. NCBI's taxonomy places the organism in Eukaryota, Metazoa, Chordata, Mammalia, Chiroptera, Pteropodidae.
AAUUCGUUUGGAGAAAGGGCUUUUAAAAGGUCUUAAGUUAAAAUGUGCAUCAGGGCUCUAAUCCUAUUUGACUGGCAUCCUUGUUAGAGGGGAAGAUUAGGACACAUGAAAGACACCAGAGGUGCUCAUGCACAGAGGGACAACUUAUGUGAAGAGGCAGCAAGAGGACAGUCAUUUACUAGCCAAGGAAAGAAAUCUGAUCAUUUCCUUUUGGCCUUAGAGGAAACCAGCCCUGUUGGCACCUUGAUCUUGGACUUCCAGCCUCCAGAAUUGUAUCAUCAAUUAAUUGCUAAUUACAGGAAGGAGAAAAAAAUUAAAAAGCUGUCUAAUUGAAGAUACAACCUGAGAUAGUACAUUUGAUACAGAAGAACUAAAAGAAGUGCUAUGUGAUGUGGAAGAGCUGAAGUGGAGGAAAAAAUCCUGACAAUUCUUGACAUCAAGUCAAUGCACAUUUAAUUUCCACUAUGGUUUAGAUCAGUGGUUCUCAACUGGGGGCAAUCUCAUCCCCCAGGGAAUAUUUGGCAACGUCUAGAGAGGUUUUUGGUUGUCAGGAUUGAGGAGGAAUACUGCUAAAUAGCCCACAAUACACAGGACAGCCUCUUACUUAUCUAGUUCCAAAUGUCAACAGUGACCAGGCUUAUAAAUGCUGAUCUAGAUUCCAUAAUAUGUACUAGGGAGCAAAGAAGAAACAGAUAUUUUAUAUCUUCUGUCCUCAGUGAAGGUCACAAAUGUUUAGUAUUUCUCAACGAUGUGAGUUAAUGAGGGUCAGACUAUAUGUUCUCUACCUCUAUGUUUAGCACAGAGGGAGUGACAAAUUACCUAGAGCAGGUUAGGGAGGGUCAGGGUGAUUUCACUUGAAAGAGGAGAACUUUUUGUCUGGGUUUGAAGGACAAGUAAGAUUUUGGUGGGUCUUUCAUUCCAAACUUACUAAUCAUAAUGAAAGCUAAUUCAUCCGAGAGGCACAAGUAAAACACCCAACAAUCAGAGUGGGGAAAGAUCAUUUGUGGAACAUGACCAAGGUUAACCUUGGCGGAGAAGAAGGGAUUUGAAUCAGGUCCUGAAGGUUGGGUAGGAUUUUGACAUGGAAUAUCUAAUAAAAAACUAAAUGGGAUAGAGAAAGAGCUAUAUACAUUUUGUAACUGAAUUUGUGCUCACCACGCAUUUGGGGAAAUGCAUACUCUAAAACAGCAUGUUCUAGUGAAGGUAGUCCAACACUAUUUGAGUUGAGUUCAGUUGCCUGCUUGUUGUGAAUUCUCCCAAGUAUUUAAAAUCUUAGAAUAUUGUCAAAUUGUGAAUUACUUUUCAGUGUGCCUGGUAAUAUCUAAACGAGCACAUUUACUCUUCCUUUAGGAAUCUAAACUACAGAAAACAGUAUUUAAUACAUAUCCAACUUUAGGCGAAUAUUUAAACUUCCUCUAAGCAGCCAUAGAAAUAGACUUUUUCUCACUCAUGUGGAUAGUUUGGAGCAAUACCCUUUGCGACUGAUGUCUUCAACCUUCAAACCUCUGCCCUUUCCAUAUCUCAACCAAAAUAGGGUUAUGGCCCGAAAUUGUGCAGAUUUACGCCACUCUCUUGGAGGGAGCAAGUGGCAGUGAGCAAACUGUGGAUCCUAACACAGGUCUGUGCCAAAGAAAGAGGACACAUUUUUCUAAUUUUUAAGGGUAUUUCUAUGAGCUAGUGGUGGUCCUGUCUCAAUUCCAUCAGAAACCCUUCUGAAUUUUUCCCCUAGUUAUCUCUCUGAAACUGCAGCAUCUCCCGGAUGCUGGUGCUGCAUUGCUGUCUUCCAGAAACCCAUGGACCAUGCCUUUGCCUGGGCAACUGAUCUAGCUUGUUUUAACCCCACUUCCAUAUAAAACAAUUCCUUUCCAGUUUUGAUGGGGUUUGCCAUCUUUUUGUAUUUUUCUAGUCUUCUAUUGUUAGAGUUGCUUUCUAUGACCACUGAUUUUACUCAGAGCCC